UCGUCGGACUCCUCUUUUUCUUCCUUCUUUUCUUCCUUCUUCUCCUCAGCAGGGGCUGCAGCAGCAGCUCCACCAGUAGGUGCAGCAACUGCAACAGCACCACCACCAGCAGGUACUGAAGCCAACUUUUCUCUGCCGGCAGCAAUCAGCUCAGUGAUGUCUUUUCCCUCCACUUGAGACAAAAGCAGUUUGAUUCUGUCAUCAUCAGCCUCAGCACCAACUGCAGAGCAUGUGGAACCUCAAACAUGAGUGUGAAACAAACAACAAGCCACAAGCCGCAUGUGUAU
This 287-nucleotide long non-coding RNA is filed under the name Nicotiana tabacum (common tobacco). RNAcentral's name for it is "long non-coding RNA (NTAB_LNC012797)". Lineage: Eukaryota; Viridiplantae; Streptophyta; Magnoliopsida; Solanales; Solanaceae. The record is from RNAcentral.